Salmo trutta (river trout) is the source of this 4345-nucleotide long non-coding RNA. Ensembl lists it as uncharacterized. Lineage: Eukaryota; Metazoa; Chordata; Actinopteri; Salmoniformes; Salmonidae. The record is from Ensembl.
GUUCCUCGAUGUAUGUCAAGGCACAAAAGUGGCGCUAUAUCGUUUCAACCUACUCAGGUAAGAAUUUCCAAGACCUUUUAUACAAUUUUACGGUUAAUUAGUCAAAGUUGCAACAACUAGCUAUGGUGUAAAACAGAUGUCCACGGGCUUCCCGUGUCUCCUGAUAUGUUUUAAAGUAAAAAAGCCGACCACUUAGCAGUAAAUGUUUAACCCGCCUGAGAUUGUAUUUAUUUCUCAUCCUCUUGCCUCUGCCCUCUUAUUGUUUCGCUCUGUCUCUAAUGGCGGACGUGAGGCGCUCCUGCUUGCUGACGGAAGAGGGGUCCAUGAAGUCUGGCCUCCUGCUCCUGACAGAGUCCUGGUACCACAGCAUCACAGAUUUUAUUGGAUCAUACUCCCUGAUCUCUGGAGAGGACAGCUGGACCAUAAGGAAAUCUGACAGUGUAUCAGAUUUUAUGUUGGACCGCCAAUUGGUUUUAAUCUGUUUCAUGGUAUUAAAACCUCUUUCACAUUCAGCUGUGGAGGCAGGGAAGGACAGGACCAGGUCAACCAAUGCCAGCAAGUCAGGGCAGGAAUGCUGAUGGCUCCUGUUGACAUGGAACCAGGACCUCUUCUGCAGGGACUGGGGCUCUUGGUACAUCAGCACCUUCAGGACAGUCCACUGGUCAGGGAUCCUUUCAACAUGGAUGCCAGAGGUCUCCAGGACAGGCUUGAAGGGUUUCCAGUUCAGAGUUUCCAAAAUCUAGAAUAAUUGUAUACAUUACAAUACAACAAGCAUCAUGCAGCUUUAAUUCUCCAACUAUAAAAAUAUGAUAAUGAUCCUAACCUGACUGCCCUGUAAUACAAAACAUAAAGUAGCCUGCUGCUGCAUCUCCUGACUCUGGCCAGUUAGUGAAGUUGACCAGCUUGGUGGCACACAGGACCCCUACACUGGCGUCCUGGAACCUGUCAGUCAUACUCUCGACUAGCCUGUCAAGCAUUUUGGCCUGUGAGGUGACGAGGGUCUUGCUGUCACCUCUGGUCAGCAAAAUUCCCUCAUUUGUUGGCCAUUGUGGCCUUCAUCAUGGGCCCUUCUCUGAUGACAAAAAGGCUCAUUUUAACAUCCUUUUGUAAUUUUCCUUUACAACACACUCUCUCUCUUAUUGACGUAAUCCUUUCUCUUAAUUCUCUUAACCUGUUAUGGAUAGGGGGAAGUAUUUUCACAGCCGGAUAAAAAACGUACCCGAUUUAAUCUGAUUAUUAGUCCUGCCCAGAAACUAGAAUAUGCAUAUAAUUAUUAGCUUUGGAUAGAAAACACUCCAAAGUUUCUAAAACUGUUUGAAUGGUGUCUGUGAGUAUAACAGAACUCCUAUGGCAGGCAAAAACCUGAGAAGGUUCUGUUCAGGAAGUACCCUGUCUGAACAUUUCUUGCCCUUGUUGAUUCUCUCUAUCUAUUACAAGGGAUCUCUGCUGUUACGUGACACUUCCCACGUCUCCAAUGGGGUCUCAGAGCCCGGGAAAAACAGGAAUGACGUAAUUCAAAGCCCUGGCUGAAACACACGAGAGCAAAAGCUAUCAGUGGAGAAAUGCUUAGGCUCGUGACCUGCCUCGCCCCCGUCUUUCGGUUUUUCCCUCAGUUUACAGACAUGCAGAUUCCCGGUCGGAAUAUUAUCGCUUUUCUACGAGAUAAAUUGCAUAAAAAUGUAUUUUAAACAGCGGUUGACAUGCUUCGAAGUACGGUAAUGGAAUAUUUAGAAAAUUUUUGUCACAUUCCGCGCCAUGCGCACGACCGUGAUUUACCAUUGGGAUAGUGUCUAGAACGCACGAACAAAACGUUGUUGAUGGAACAUAACGAUGGAUUAUUUGGGACCAAACCAACAUUUGUUAUUGAAGUAGAAGUCCUGGGAGUGCAUUCUGACAAAGAACAGGAAAGGUAAGACCAUUUUUCUUAUAGGAAAUGUGAUUUUGGUGAAGGCUAAACUGGUUGGGUGUCUAAAUAGCUAGCCCUGUGAUGCCGGGCUAUGUACUUAGAAUAUUGCAAAAUAUGCUUCAUCCGAAAAGCUAUUUUAAAAUCGGACAUAUCGAGUGCAUAGAGGAGUUCUGUAUCUAUAAUUCUUAAAAUAAUUGUUAUGCUUUUUGUGAACGUUUAUCGUGAGUAAUUUAGUAAAUUCACCGGAAGUGUUCGGUGGGAAUGCUAGUUCUGAACGUCACAUGCUAAUGUAAAAAGCUGGAUUUUGAUAUAAAUAUGAACUUGAUUGAACAGACAUGCAUGUAUUGUAUAACAUAAUGUCCUAGGUGUGUCAUCUGAUGAAGAUAAUCAAAGGUUAGUGCUGCAUUUAGCUGUGGUUUUGUUUUUUGUGACAUAUGCUAGCUUGAAAAAUGGGUGUCUGAUUAUUUCUGGCUGGGUACUCUGCUGACAUAAUCUAAUGUUUUGCUUUCGUUGUAAAGCCUUUUUGAAAUCGGACAGUGUGGUUAGAUUAACGAGAGUCUUGUCUUUAAAUAGCUGUAAAAUAGUCAUAUGUUUGAGAAAUUGAAGUAAUAGCAUUUCUAAGGUAUUUGAAAAUCGCGCCACAGGAUUCAACUGGCUGUUACGUAGGUGGGACGAUUUGGUGCCACCUGCCCUAGAGAGGUUAAAAGGAACCACCAGCUUUCAUAUGUUCUCAUGUUCUGAGCAAGGAACUUAAACGUUAGCUUUUUUACAUGGCACAUAUUGCACUUUUACUUUCUUCUCCAACACUUUGUUUUUGCAUUAUUUAAACCAAAUUGAACAUGUUUCAUUUAUUUGAGGCUAAAUUGAUUUUAUUGAUGUAUUAUAAUAAGUUAAAAUAAGUGUUCAUUCAGUAUUGUUGUAAUUGUCAUUAUUACAAAUCAAUAAAAAAAUUUAAAAAAUCAGCCGAUUAAUCAGUAUCGGCUUCCUUUGGUCCUCCAAUAAUCGGUAUCGGCGUUGAAAAAUCAUAAUCGGUCGACCUCUAGGUUUGAUGGCAAGAAAUUAUGAGUUGCAUUUGCAGUCUAGCAACAGGAACAUGCAAUAACAUCUGCUGAACGUGUACGUGACAAAUAACAUUUUAUUUGACUAGAAUAUUCUGUAAUUUAGCAUAUUCCGGUGUUUCAAAACCGUAAGAAACUGAUUAGUGAACUUGACCCCCACCCAUUUUUUCUGAUGUCAUCAAGCAAAGAAACAAACAAACCUUGGAAUGAAAUUUUCCAAAUGGAAACAAAUGUAUUACAGCUCUUUUUUUUUUUUUUUGCUGUGUGUCGCAUUACAUGGGUUUUUGUAAGCCUGACACAUUAAUUAAACUACUUGAUUUUGCCUAGGCUUCAGAAUUGUAUGAUAAUUCACGUUGCACUUGGAGAAUAUUAACCCUUUAUUGUCCAUGGUUUGAGACAAAAUGGAUCCCAUGAUGCUGAGGCAGUUGCUGUGUUUACUAUGUUGUCAUAACAAAAUGACCAUUCAGUUGUGUUCAGCUUUGGUCUUUGGGGGUGUCCAUCACACUCAUGAACGGCUGUGCAACAGCAUUGGCAUUCUAUGUCUCUGUGGCAACUACAAUCAGUUGCAGUCUACAAUCUUGUUUGGUAUAGUGGACUGGAUUAUACAUGGACCCAAACUGGAGAAUGAGCAUGGCGAGGUAGUGCUGCAUCUCGGCUCCCGUUUGGUGCCUACUGCCUAGUACUGAAUGUUAGCCUGAUGUCUACCUUCAGAUAACAACCAACCCCCAUGGUAGUCUCCUGGUCACUAUGGCAACCAAGGUGUUGGAUCACUUGGCAACAGAGAUGGUAGAGGUGGAUGAAGGGGGAGGAGAGAGACAGAGGGUAGAUAUGUGACACUGUUUGUAGGGGGAGGUAGAGGUUUGAAUGAGAGGAGAACCUGAACAGAAGGAGUAGAGGGAGACCAAAAUGGGUAGGUGGGACUAGAAAGAGGGAAAGAAUGAGAGGGAGAGAAAAUGUGCAGAGAUUAGUAUUCUUGCAGGACAGUGGCUCCCCUGGACAAUCAGUGGUAUUGCAGGGCUUUUUAUGCUCCACAUACAACCCUAUCAUUGUCCCCUGAACAGUCAUGUUCCAAAUACACCAAUACUGUGCAGGCAUGCACAGAAUGUCAGGUAUGUUUUACAAUGCCUAGGGAAGUCUCCAGAAUUCCUGCAUAGAAUUUGUGUGUCUGGAAAGCAACCACCGUCUCUUAACUGGACUUUACCUGAGCAGAGCUCAUUAAUGAUUCUUAAGAAAUCCACCUGCUAGCCUAAAAAGUGGUUGGCUAUUUCUUAUUUUUUCACAUAUACACAGCUUGUACCUGGAAUACUUGCACUCAACAUGUUUACCAUGGACUAUGCUUAUGGUAGGUUUAUCCUAAUAACCUGUGCUGUGUUUGUUUGGG